AUUUUGGUUCAAAUGCUUUAUGCCCCUCCAUUCUAGCAUUGUUUUAAUGUUGAACAAACAUAAUCAUUGAUGUGGUAUGCUUUGAAUUGUUUUGGCCACCAUUUAAGUGUAAUAACUUAUGCUUAAUUUUUUAAUUGGGAAUAACUUAUGUUUAAUGUCUACUUAACUUCUAAGAACUAUUUCAAGGCAAAGCAAAAGGGUUUAAUGUGGAGAUGGCUUUAUUGGCAAAGUCUGUUCAUGAUUUUGAAAAAGCAAUAUCUAUGGUAUCUUAGCACAAGAGACGUGGUUGGGAAUGUGAAGAUUCCUGUUCUCUUUAUAUAGGUCAAACUUAUCUAACUUUAAUACCAUCAUGCUUUAAUUUUUGUUCAGGAUUAGAUUAGUCAUGUCCUACAUUUGUUUACUGUUUAUAAAUCUUCUUGUAAAUACUCUGUUUAUUUCAAUCAUUCUUGACCUUUUUUGGUUUAAAAAAAAUCAGUUAAAAGAGAUGGUUUAUUAAAACUUAUUUUGGAGCUGUGCUAAAAUUUCCCAUGAUAACAAUAAUAUGCAAGAAACCCCCAAAUCAAAAACCAUAGCCCCUUCCUAUCAAAAAAGAAAAAAAGAAGAAGAAGAAGAAGGAAAACCAUAGCUUCUCAUCCAUUUCUCUCUCCAGUCUCUAUGCUUUGCCUUUAGUGCACCUUCUCCUUUGUCUCUGCUCCUAAUGAUGAAUUGGGAUUGAAGGGAGCAAAAUCAAGAUGCCAUGGACGUCCUCUUUUGAUUCAAAUUCGUAAAAGCUUCCUUACUCUCUUUCUCUCUCCAUGUGGCGUGAGGUCAAAUAUUUGCUUUCUUUGUUCUAAAUAACAAUUUAUAGAACUCAAUGUUUUAUGUUAAAUAAAUAUAUGAUGUACUCUUCUAUAUAAUGCAGAUUUUUUGUAUUAUGUUCUUUCUCUACUCUUUUUGAGUCAUAGCAAAAGAAUUUGACAUUAGUAACUAUAUUCUAUUUAUUUAUUAUGAAAAUAAGAUUGUGAUCAUUA
Quercus robur (English oak) is the source of this 1010-nucleotide long non-coding RNA. RefSeq lists it as uncharacterized. The record is from RefSeq and is a predicted model, not a curated record. NCBI's taxonomy places the organism in Eukaryota, Viridiplantae, Streptophyta, Magnoliopsida, Fagales, Fagaceae. The transcript is spliced from 2 exons.